Molecule: unclassified non-coding RNA, 279 nt
Filed under: plant metagenome
Description: partial contains small subunit ribosomal RNA, internal transcribed spacer 1, and 5.8S ribosomal RNA
Source: RNAcentral
UUUCCGUAGGUGAACCUGCGGAAGGAUCAUUAACGAGUUACGAUCUUUCAGACCCUACCUCCAAACCCUUUGUUUAUUGAACGGCUGUUACUUCCGCGGACCCGUGUCAGGACCGCCGGAAGAACGCCGCGAGGCGAACUUUGGCCAGAGUCCUCAUAGAACCAACCAAUAAACACAACAAAGAAAUCAUUGGAUUUUGUAUCAGUCUAUGAUUAAAUUAAAGCAAAACUUUCAACAACGGAUCUCUUGGUUCUGUCAUCGAUUAGUAACGCAGCAGAU